GACGAACGCUGGCGGCGUGCUUAACACAUGCAAGUCGAACGGAAAGGCCCUGCUUUUGUGGGGUGCUCGAGUGGCGAACGGGUGAGUAACACGUGAGUAACCUGCCCUUGACUUUGGGAUAACUUCAGGAAACUGGGUCUAAUACCGGAUAGGAGCUCCUGCUGCAUGGUGGGGGUUGGAAAGUUUCGGCGGUUGGGGAUGGACUCGCGGCUUAUCAGCUUGUUGGUGGGGUAGUGGCUUACCAAGGCUUUGACGGGUAGCCGGCCUGAGAGGGUGAGCGGCCACAUUGGGACUGAGAUACGGCCCAGACUCCUACGGGAGGCAGCAGUGGGGAAUAUUGCACAAUGGGCGGAAGCCUGAUGCAGCAACGCCGCGUGCGGGAUGACGGCCUUCGGGUUGUAAACCGCUUUCGCCUGUGACGAAGCGUGAGUGACGGUAAUGGGUAAAGAAGCACCGGCUAACUACGUG
Molecule: ribosomal RNA, 468 nt
Filed under: uncultured bacterium
Lineage: Bacteria
Description: partial 16S ribosomal RNA
Rfam family: Bacterial small subunit ribosomal RNA
Source: RNAcentral